CUAUCUCAAAACUAUAAAUACCCCCUUCCAUUUCAUUGUAUAACACACCAAAAAAUAUAUCAAAACUCAAGAAGAAAGAGUUUGAGAGGGAGAGAGAUAUAGUUCCUUUAGGAAUGUUUCCUAACAGGGGAGUGACAAAAUAGUGAGUAGAAAUACUAGUCGGGUAUUUUUCGGGAAACACUUUUGUGUGCGCCACUAUUUUGGGUAGAGCUCAGGAAUUGUUGUACCUCCAAAUUAUUGGGGAAGUCUCUCUUUGUAUGCCUGCUAAAUGUUUUAGUGGAAGUUGGUGUCGGAUUUGUGGACGUAGCCUAAACGUUUUAGAUUGGGCUAGAUACCCUGAUUCAAGACGAUCCACUACAGACUGGUGCAUGAUGCUUCGCUCGUGCAUGAUCUCAUGGAAGUGUAAAAAACAAUCUCUAACAUCGAAGUGAUCCACAGAGGCAGAAUAUAGAAGUAUGUCUGUUGCAUGCUUUGAAAUCAUUUGGCUAAGGAGGCUAUUAUCAAAACUUGACAUCAAGAUCGAAGGAUUAACCAUAUUGUAUGGAUACAAUACCAGUGCAAUUCGAAUAGCAACCAACUCCGUUCAUCAUGAAAAUACCUGGCACAUAGACGUAGAUUGUCACUACAUGCAUCAGAGAACUGAUUGAAGAUCGGAGCACUAAUCUGAGGUAUAUAUCAUCUAAAGAUCAACUAGCAGAUUUGUUCACAAAGGCUAUGUCUAGAAGUCGACACAAUUAUCUUCUGUCCAAACUCUUGCUUUGUGAUACAUAGCAUUAGUUUGAGGGAAGGUUUUGACUAAAUCUUAUUUUACAACCCAAUCUCAGGGAUGUCCUAUUAUGACUAACAUUAAAAUUGUAUAGCAAAUUAGCUGCCCUAUUUCAGGGUUAUUUGUCUAGCAAUUAGUAGGCUAGUAAUCAGAAGAUAAUUGAGACUCUUUUGCUUGUACAAAUACCUUGUAAAUCCCUCAGUUCUGGAUAAUUGAAAGAUAUUAGAAUUCUUUCAUUUUCUGGA
Long non-coding RNA from Nicotiana tabacum (common tobacco), 1011 nucleotides. RefSeq lists it as uncharacterized. The record is from RefSeq and is a predicted model, not a curated record. Lineage: Eukaryota; Viridiplantae; Streptophyta; Magnoliopsida; Solanales; Solanaceae.